This is a long non-coding RNA of Felis catus (domestic cat), 2011 nucleotides long. RefSeq lists it as uncharacterized. The record is from RefSeq and is a predicted model, not a curated record. Lineage: Eukaryota; Metazoa; Chordata; Mammalia; Carnivora; Felidae. The transcript has 5 exons.
UAGGUAUAGCAAGUAUUUUUAUAGCAUUGUAUAGUUUAGGAUUAAAUAAGACUUCUCAUUCCUCCCUCUUACCACAUACCCUAAAACCAAUAUAAGGUUGAAACAUGAAAAUGCCAAUAUUUGGCUAAAGCAACUGGGAAAAUCAUAACUUUCUGACAGAGUCAGUGUUUAUGUUUAGAAAUAUCUUUGAAGGGACGUAUAACAUAACCAGGAUUACUUUUGGUUAGAAUAAUAUAUUUUAUACUACAUUCAUAACCUGUGUUUUUAACCAUUUCAAUACCCACAAAGGAUAUAGUCUAGCCUCAGUUGCAAGUGUGAGUAUUUUGGGGGAGGGGGUGAGAGUAAGAACAUGGCUGGUCCUGUAUUUGAGAUGAUUUCUAUAUCAGGUAGAAGGCAGAGAAACACCUCCCAUUACAGGAAAGAGAUUUGCAUGUGACUUUACAUCCACAACUGGAAUUUCAGAAAAACAUUCAUUUUGCCUACAAGAGUAAACAGAACCAUGCCUAGGGAAGUGUGACCUGAGCAAAAUUCCACAGUGAGGUUCUCAGAGCCUUUCCUUGCAUGGGUGGUAACAACAUUCUCCCUCUACCUUUUCACUUUUUCCCGGACACACACAUACCCACAUAUCCAUGUGUCACAGAGCAGUAGAACGGGGCUUCACACAAUCCAUCAGUUAUAGUUCUGAAUAAGAAGAAAUAAUUAGGUUGUGACAAUAGUCUCCUCAUCAACAGGCAUUCUUUACAGUAAAGCUUGUUUCCAGCCUGUAUAUUCUGUACUGUAACUAUAUAUUCGGUACUGUAUCUAUAAGUCACUGUGUUGUCCCUGUCUGAAAUGAGAUUGCAGAGUGACUCACAGAUAACUGAAUGUAUUAAGUUGAGUGAAAUAAUGUCACUGGAACCAAGAAACUGGACAGGAGACCAGCUUUCAGCUUCAAGUCCCUAGUUCUUCAAUCUUUCAUUGUUUUGUUUUCAUUUUUGUUUUUUGUUUUGUUUUGUUUUGUUUUGUUUUACAAAGUGUUUAACAUUAUCCUAAUGUCAGGUUUUCCUGGAGUUCAGGAAGAGUCUGGUUCAAUUCUCAAGCACUUCGGGUCAAUGCUGGACAAGGAACCCAGCCGCAAUGGCUGCGGCUUCUAUGUAUCUUUAGGAAUAAAAGAUAAGCCCCUUAUUGUGUGGCUCAUCUUCUGCUUGGGUGCAGAAGGCAGGUGAUCCAGGCCCUGCUGUGACAGAGUAUGCUAGGCCCCAGGGGACAGACUUCUCACCAUUUCCAGGGACAAAUCUGUUGGUGAGACUUGGGGAUCCUGCUGAAUUCAGUGCAGCUACCCUUGGGGAGCAAAUAUCACCAGAACUGUGCCUCAGAACUUUACAUAGAUGCUCCUUCAAGUAGGGCAGAAGGACUUUCUGUUUCUUUUUCUUCUCUUUACAGGAGGACUUUUUUAUCACAUGGAUAAAAGAGGAAACAUCAAAAGUCUCCAGGUCACUUUGCCAUUGUACAAAUCUCAAAAUUUCACAAGCCUACCCUCGUCAUUUAUGGAAAAUUUGGGAGAAAAGAAGCUGAAGGAGGAGUGGUCAGCCAAACCAGGUAGAGCUCGACCUUCUGAGGGCAUGCUGCCUCCUUCCAUGCUGUCCCCACUGAGGUUAGAGGACCAGUUUUCCUUCAGACAUGGCCACCUCUGAUCAUCUGACUGAAAAAGUUCUUUGGCUCAGUCCAGCUGUACAAACCACGGAGGUGAUUGAGAAAGACAUUUAUCUAAGAGAAGUUGAGAAUAUUAUGGAUAAUAUGAAGGGUGAAAGACUAAAAAUUCAACACCAAGGAUGCCGUUUGCUGCAAAAUUUAUUGAGAUAGUUUUUUAAACAGGUUAAGAAAGUUUUGUUCUAUUUCAAGCAUGACUUGGUACAUGUAAAUGGAAGAAAACAGGUGUAUCUAUUGUCAUUUCCAUCAGAGUGCCUUUGGAAGACUACAUAACCAACAGUUCCCAUUUCACCACAAUUUCUAGUAAGACAGCAUGACUGAC